AAGAUGAUGAGACGUGUUCCUCUCUCCUACGGACACCCUGGGGAUGCCAUGUACACCUUACUGACUUA
This 68-nucleotide small nucleolar RNA is filed under the name Giardia duodenalis ATCC 50581. RNAcentral's name for it is "Giardia intestinalis ATCC 50581 sRNA C/D-box". It matches the Rfam family "Small nucleolar RNA GlsR10". The record is from RNAcentral. Lineage: Eukaryota; Fornicata; Diplomonadida; Hexamitidae.